CGGGUGAGUAACACGUAUCCAACCUGCCGUCUACUCUUGGACAGCCUUCUGAAAGGAAGAUUAAUACAAGAUGGCAUCAUGAGUCCGCAUGUUCACAUGAUUAAAGGUAUUCCGGUAGACGAUGGGGAUGCGUUCCAUUAGAUAGUAGGCGGGGUAACGGCCCACCUAGUCUUCGAUGGAUAGGGGUUCUGAGAGGAAGGUCCCUCACAUUGGAACUGAGACACGGUCCAA
RNAcentral lists this ribosomal RNA (231 nucleotides) under uncultured bacterium. Its description in RNAcentral is "partial 16S ribosomal RNA". It matches the Rfam family "Bacterial small subunit ribosomal RNA", at positions 103 to 334 of the family's 1533-position model. The record is from RNAcentral.